RNAcentral lists this long non-coding RNA (547 nucleotides) under Homo sapiens (human). RNAcentral's name for it is "non-protein coding lnc-TUBB2B-7:4". The record is from RNAcentral. Lineage: Eukaryota; Metazoa; Chordata; Mammalia; Primates; Hominidae.
UCUGUAAACAAUGAGUGAGUUUACCAUUCCAUCAUUCCAUCAGUAAUCAGCAGCAAUGCCCUUCUUUGGCAAGAGCUGCGUAAGUGCAUCUUAAGGGUCAGUAUGUUAUGCAUUGUAAACUACGUUACAAAGCCACAACUAAAAAUACUACCAUGAGAUUUGAAUUUUAGGCUGGGAGAUUCCAUUCUCACCAUAAGCCUGUAAGAAAUAAAUUCCACUACUGUCCCCCUCGCACAGAUGGUAAAUGGAGCAGAGAGAAGGCAGGGCGCUGGGCCAGGCUUGCUUGGCUGGAAGGCUGUAGAGCUGGGAUUGGGAGCACAGCGUGUCUGGCUGGAGAGUCCCCACUCUUCUCUGCGACAUGGUUUAUCACAGUGGCUGUGCUGAUAUUUUAAGCCUGGCUGUUGUUAAUUUUUAUUGGGGACUGGUCCUGAAACGCCUCACCACUGAGGCUACUCAGUCAGCCCCAUUCUGCUGUCCUGUAGUUAGUUGAUCCUGCCCAACCUAUGGCAGAAUAGACAAAAGGUGUCCUAGGGAAAGGUCCCCAAAA